RNAcentral lists this small RNA (271 nucleotides) under Drosophila virilis. RNAcentral describes it as "GJ26964". Lineage: Eukaryota; Metazoa; Arthropoda; Insecta; Diptera; Drosophilidae. The record is from RNAcentral.
CGCAAUUUUUAAAUGAAUGUUUCUUACAAAAUAAUAUUAAUGUACCCAUUGUGUGUUAUUGCAAAUAUUUGCAAACGGAGCCGUGCGCCAGGCGCACUUCGAAUUCCAAGCACCGUUCUAAGUCUAAGUGAACCAAGCAACAAUAAUAAGUAAAUUUGUAUUCAUAUCAACAUUUUAUGCUCAGAGCUGGUCGGGCAGAAGCAAAGCGACAAGGAUAGACAAACGCAAUAAAGAAAUACGGUUACUUCUAUACAGUGGCGGCAAAUUCCAA